Molecule: long non-coding RNA, 487 nt
Filed under: Olea europaea subsp. europaea
Lineage: Eukaryota; Viridiplantae; Streptophyta; Magnoliopsida; Lamiales; Oleaceae
Source: RNAcentral
CCCACAACAGUCUUUACCCAAAAAACAUCCACUCUAUCUCCACAUCACUGCUUAUCCACCCACUACCCACCAUCAGCGAACCGCUCUCCAUUUCUGACUAUAGAGCAGCGAUCCUCCCGUCACUAUGCGUCCUCCAUCUCAAAUGCCAGUCGUCAAAACUUUCAAAUCCACUUUCAUCCCUCCUCCCUGUCUCAUCCCAAAGUAAAGUCAUGUAGUGCCGUUGGGGCUAAAAAUUCCCAACAUAAAAUCUCGUCGGAAAAAAUUAUAGUGUCAGAAUCUUUAAGCAAUAUACCAGCAAGAAUGGUUUCGAUUCGUAGACAACACUCAUUACCAAAAAACACAAAAAUUAUUACCAAGAAGGUUUUUUGUUUUUGUUUUUUUGUUUUUUCCCGAGUAAAUGGCAUCAAAAAAAUGUUUGUUGUAAGAAGAUGUUUUAUAGGGAAUAUAUGGUUGAGGUGAGGAUGGGGUGUGGUUAAUCCAAUUUGUU